RNAcentral lists this long non-coding RNA (713 nucleotides) under Populus trichocarpa (black cottonwood). Its description in RNAcentral is "long non-coding RNA (PTRI_LNC003096)". The record is from RNAcentral. Lineage: Eukaryota; Viridiplantae; Streptophyta; Magnoliopsida; Malpighiales; Salicaceae.
GGAAUCAAGUUUCAAAAACACCAUAAUUCCCCGCCACAGCUCCAAGAUUAUUGCUUUGAUUUAAAACAAAUGCGCAGUUGAAGAACAAUGAACCAAACAAUAUCAUUGAACCAUUCAUUGGAAGGGUUAAAUGCUAUCAAUUAUAGAUCUAGAUUUCAACAAGAAACUGCAAACCUACACCUCUUUUUAACAUCAAAUUGGUACAUAAUUUUACGUAUAAAUAAGUUUCAUGGAUAAUAUAGUUUCGACAUUCUACUCUUUCCUAAAUCUGAAACUUUAACUUCUCAUACAUAAGGUUAAUGGAUAAUUAUGAAAAAAAUGGUACAUAAACCCGUUACAGAAAACGUAGUAAUGAAAGCAAAACAACAACUAAAACUUUAGCUGCAAAUUCAAAAACAAAGAUAUGGAAACAGAUCGAGGGCUUUAGAGUUACUUACUUGGGCCACUUGCGGACACCAAGUUCAGUAAGUUUGGACUCCGGAGGAUUCCUAACAACCUUAAUUCCAGACUUCUCAAUAGUCAAGGUCUCUGCUUUUACUAUUGGUUUUGCCAUACGCCUCAAGCCCACCUUUGUUCUUCUUCUUGCACUUGAAAAAGGAAGAGAAGCACCAAAAGAUAUAGAUGAGUCGAUACGUUGUUGACCCUUUUGGCUUUGAGGACCGAGCCUAGACUGGUUCAACAAUAUUAGUAAACUGGUGCUACUGCCACUCGCA